GACGAACGCUGGCGGCGUGCCUAAUACAUGCAAGUCGAACGCAUUUUCUUUCACCGUAGCUUGCUACACCGAAAGAAAAUGAGUGGCGAACGGGUGAGUAACACGUGGGUAACCUGCCCAUCAGCGGGGGAUAACACUCGGAAACAGGUGCUAAUACCGCAUAAUUCCAUUUACCGCAUGGUAGAUGGGUGAAAGGCGCUUUUGCGUCACUGAUGGAUGGACCCGCGGUGCAUUAGCUAGUUGGUGGGGUAACGGCCUACCAAGGCUGCGAUGCAUAGCCGACCUGAGAGGGUGAUCGGCCACACUGGGACUGAGACACGGCCCAGACUCCUACGGGAGGCAGCAGUAGGGAAUCUUCGGCAAUGGACGCAAGUCUGACCGAGCAACGCCGCGUGAGUGAAGAAGGUUUUCGGAUUGUAAAACUCUGUUGUUAGAGAAGAACAAGGAUGAGAGUGGAAAGUUCAUCCCUUGACGGUAUCUAACCAGAAAGCCACGGCUAACUACGUG
RNAcentral lists this ribosomal RNA (507 nucleotides) under uncultured bacterium. RNAcentral's name for it is "partial 16S ribosomal RNA". It matches the Rfam family "Bacterial small subunit ribosomal RNA", at positions 28 to 507 of the family's 1533-position model. The record is from RNAcentral.